Molecule: long non-coding RNA, 210 nt
Filed under: Prunus persica (peach)
Lineage: Eukaryota; Viridiplantae; Streptophyta; Magnoliopsida; Rosales; Rosaceae
Description: long non-coding RNA (PPER_LNC006293)
Source: RNAcentral
GAGAACCUAUAACAUGUGUGUAUUUUUAUAAGUCUAGUGUUAUUGACGAUGUGAAACGCAUUUACAAUGAAGAACAUAUUAGGUAGGAUAACUCCAAACUUAACGGUAGAUUAAUUCCAUCGCAUUCAUUUUACAUAUUCAUGGUUUGCAUAUGCGUUUUGUGGGUUUAUUACUGAAUUCAUUUAGAUUUUUUUUUUUUUAAGUUAAAAC